Benincasa hispida (wax gourd) is the source of this 1942-nucleotide RNA transcript. It is a transcript of the gene named BRCA1-A complex subunit BRE-like protein, with no coding region annotated. The record is from RefSeq and is a predicted model, not a curated record. NCBI's taxonomy places the organism in Eukaryota, Viridiplantae, Streptophyta, Magnoliopsida, Cucurbitales, Cucurbitaceae.
UUGCGGUUCAGUAAAACUCGUGGAGAGGGGCAGCGCUUUCUGGUUUGUCGAGCUGUUCUUUGAUCGAAAAUCGAGGUCUCUGUGCAGCAAGAAGGGAGUGGUGUGAAUUUCUUGAGGCGAAUCAGGAGUUCAUUGUUGUUUCGGUUGAACUUGACGGUGGUUCUCCAGAUCGAUCGACGGCGACAAACCUGAUAGCUUCGUUGUUCAGCUGCUACGGCCAUGUCCUCCGAUACUGUACCUCCUCCCAUUGCUGCUCAUAUCAAUUACCUGCUCAACCACUUUCCCCUCCCCGUUAAGAUUGAGCAUAUGUGGUCUGGCAGUAGACACUACCCUGGAAUUAUCGAUAGGUUCACCUUAGUCAUGCCUUACUGCCUUGAAUUCGUCAAAUGGGACAUCAUGUACAAUGCUGAAUCACCGUUUUCUGCUCCUGAUAUUAUGUUUGGACCAGAAGACGAAAAUUUCCAUCCAUUCACAAGUAAGGAUGUUGAAGGAGAUGGAGAUCGUAAGUCAUUACAAAACAGUCUAAGUGACUGGAACAGCAAAGAUCCAUCUCGGCUCACUAGCCUCCUUCAAGAACUGAGGGAUCGAUAUGUGUCAUACCAAAGGAAACGUGUUGAAAGUGUUGAUGAUGAAAGAUUGAAGUUUGAACUUUGUACUAUGUUAUCGAGGGAGGGAAUUGAAAUGCAUUUGAGUUCAGGUGUUGAGAAGCCAGAGGAGGUCAAAUUUGCAGUGCCGCUGGUAGACAUUAAUAUUAAUAAGAUGAUACCUGGAUGCCCGUGGAGGUAUCCACAGAAGAUAUUCUUGCAGGUUUUAUAUCCUGUGGUGAGAAAAUAUGCAACUACUCCUGCUGCACCUCGUCUGAAACUGGUUUCUACGUCUGAGUUGAAGGCUCUGUUAUCCAUCGAGGACAUCAAACUUCCUUCAUGGAUAGAUGGAAUGUGCAUGGCUGAAUAUCUCCCCCAUCUAGAAGAGAGUCUUGAGAAACAGGUUCUGGAGGCAGUUUCAUUGAUUGAUGUUAGGAGAGGCUUUAUAGAGGCAUUGGACUCUUUCUUCGGAAGGCCUUUAGAAGCUGACCCGGUGUUUUGUCGAACGGCUACAGUUAUCACUGCCUCCGGAGUGUUCACAUUCCUGGUAUUAAGUGACCUUCAUGCUUCUCCAUCUUGAAUUCUCGUCAAAAUCUUUCCUUUUUAGGCUUUAUACCCUGGUCUGUAGAGAAUCAGAUGUAACAAUUAACUUUGGAGAUGAUCACUACCUUGUAUCUGGUACAGUAUUCCAGAUCUAUUGAUGACAAGAAUAGCCCUAAGUUUUUCCUUUCUUAGAGAGAUUCCUGGAAUGAAAGAUCCCUCAACAACAAACGCUACAGUGGUUAAUUUAUUGAAAGGAAAAAAGAAAAGGAAAUAAAAUUUUGUAGAGAACAUUCAGAGAGAGCAACACUCUUUAACUUCCGCUCAAGACCUUUCUGCAUUCUUCAAGGUUCAUCUAUUUUCUCUAAGCUGAUGUUCCCGUCAAUAACGAAGAACACUGUCUGCAGUCUGUUAGAGAAGCUGACAAGCUUUGGCAUAUCCCAACUACCAUACUUUGCUUAUUAAUGAUAACCACUGAGAAAUCUCCCCAAAUCUUCGCAACAAAGUGACAUCUCCAUGAAACAUUAUCUAAUUCUUCCAACGUUCUUGUGCAUAAAAUACGCCACCUAGACUCUGACCAUAGGUGAACCUCGGAAAAGUUCAUGAGGUCAAAUCUGAUUAUGUUGACUCAGCAUUACCCAGUCAUUGUUUCUCCAUUUUGUGUUUCAAUCUUCUAGGUCCAGAUCCUCAUUUCAACUCAAUUUCCAAAGAAGCAGCCCUCUCUGGUGCUGCAAAGUUCUCAGCAUUUCAACUCCCAAGGUGCACCCAUCAAGUCACAGCUUAUUACUGAGUAUCCUUGGAGUCCUAGAUGGGAGCCA